Molecule: long non-coding RNA, 655 nt
Filed under: Olea europaea (common olive)
Lineage: Eukaryota; Viridiplantae; Streptophyta; Magnoliopsida; Lamiales; Oleaceae
Description: long non-coding RNA (OEUR_LNC010996)
Source: RNAcentral
UGAAAGUCAUGGGUACCUGGCAAAAAAUCUGAACUGAAUUGGGAUGUCUACUCGGACCCAAAAUGGUGCCUUUCUCCGUCCUCUAACCGGCGAGAAUAUAUGUCCACAUAACUUAGCAAUGGAUUAUGCCGAUGUGGAUGCUCGCCGGAAGAAAUUUUUUGUACCUCCCAACGGAAAUGAACCCAGUCGAGGUGGCUCCGACGGGAAAUUGUUGCUAGCGGUUUCGCAAGAGGUGGAUGUGCCAAGAAAUUGAUUUUCUAUGGGAAUUAAAGAAAGAAAAUUGGAGUAAAUGAAUAAUGGGCCAGGUUGUAAAAAUGAAGACCCGCCUCUCUGCCAGUUCAGCAAUUUGAAAUGGUGUGAGAAAAGCUGUGAGCCGCCGCUGUACGAGAGGCAUUUUCCCUACAACAAUUGGGUUGCUAGGACAAGCAACGAUAUUAUUGUGACUGACCGUUACAACAGUAUGUCAGAGAGUUGCAUUUAGAAAUAUAAUAAAAUUAUUUCAUUUAUUCAAAAAUGUUUUUAAAAACUAAAAAUAAUCAACUAUAGUCUGUACAAAAAUACAUAUAAUGAAGAAAAUAGAAAAAGUGAAAUCUCUAGUUUUUUUAAAAAAUCUGAAAAAAAAUUUAAAAAUUGGGAGAUUGAAAGAUUAUAAGCG